RNAcentral lists this ribosomal RNA (143 nucleotides) under Peptostreptococcus anaerobius. RNAcentral's name for it is "16S rRNA. Bacterial SSU". It matches the Rfam family "Bacterial small subunit ribosomal RNA", at positions 19 to 153 of the family's 1533-position model. Lineage: Bacteria; Bacillati; Bacillota; Clostridia; Peptostreptococcales; Peptostreptococcaceae. The record is from RNAcentral.
CUGGCUCAGGAUGAACGCUGGCGGCGUGCCUAACACAUGCAAGUCGAGCGCGUCUGAUUUGAUGCUUGCAUUAAUGAAAGAUGAGCGGCGGACGGGUGAGUAACGCGUGGGUAACCUGCCCUAUACACAUGGAUAACAUACUG